RNAcentral lists this non-coding RNA (21 nucleotides) under Caenorhabditis elegans. Lineage: Eukaryota; Metazoa; Nematoda; Chromadorea; Rhabditida; Rhabditidae. The record is from RNAcentral.
UACCCCUGUUGUUUGAACAAG